GAUGAACGCUGGCGGCGUGCUUAACACAUGCAAGUCGAACGAUGAAGCUGGAGCUUGCUCUGGUGGAUUAGUGGCGAACGGGUGAGUAACACGUGAGCAACCUGCCCCUGACUCUGGGAUAACAGCCGGAAACGGCUGCUAAUACCGGAUAUGCACCAUGAACGCAUGUUCUGUGGUGGGAAAGAUUUUUCGGUUGGGGAUGGGCUCGCGGCCUAUCAGCUUGUUGGUGAGGUAAUGGCUCACCAAGGCGUCGACGGGUAGCCGGCCUGAGAGGGUGACCGGCCACACUGGGACUGAGACACGGCCCAGACUCCUACGGGAGGCAGCAGUGGGGAAUAUUGCACAAUGGGCGAAAGCCUGAUGCAGCAACGCCGGGUGAGGGAUGACGGCCUUCGGGUUGUAAACCUCUUUUAGCAGGGAAGAAGCGAGAGCGACGGUACCUGCAGAAAAAGCGCCGGCUAACUACGUG
RNAcentral lists this ribosomal RNA (469 nucleotides) under uncultured bacterium. Its description in RNAcentral is "partial 16S ribosomal RNA". It matches the Rfam family "Bacterial small subunit ribosomal RNA", at positions 28 to 507 of the family's 1533-position model. The record is from RNAcentral.